AUUGAACGCUGGCGGCAGGCCUAACACAUGCAAGUCGAACGGUAACAGGAAGAAGCUUGCUUCUUUGCUGACGAGUGGCGGACGGGUGAGUAAUGUCUGGGAAACUGCCUGAUGGAGGGGGAUAACUACUGGAAACGGUAGCUAAUACCGCAUAACGUCGCAAGACCAAAAAGGGGGACCUUCGGGCCUCUUGCCAUCGGAUGUGCCCAGAUGGGAUUAGCUAGUAGGUGGGGUAACGGCUCACCUAGGCGACGAUCCCUAGCUGGUCUGAGAGGAUGACCAGCCACACUGGAACUGAGACACGGUCCAGACUCCUAGGGGAGGCAGCAGUGGGGAAUAUUGCGCAAUGGGCGCAAGCCUGAUGCAGCCAUGCCGCGUGUAUGAAGAAGGCCUUCGGGUUGUAAAGUACUUUCAGCGGGGAGGAAGGGAGUAAAGUUAAUACCUUUGCUCAUUGACGUUACCCGCAGAAGAAGCACCGGCUAACUCCGUG
RNAcentral lists this ribosomal RNA (490 nucleotides) under uncultured bacterium. Its description in RNAcentral is "partial 16S ribosomal RNA". It matches the Rfam family "Bacterial small subunit ribosomal RNA", at positions 30 to 507 of the family's 1533-position model. The record is from RNAcentral.